RNAcentral lists this ribosomal RNA (1153 nucleotides) under Trichodorus pakistanensis. RNAcentral describes it as "SSU rRNA". It matches the Rfam family "Eukaryotic small subunit ribosomal RNA", at positions 39 to 1200 of the family's 1831-position model. The record is from RNAcentral. Lineage: Eukaryota; Metazoa; Nematoda; Enoplea; Triplonchida; Trichodoridae.
AAAGAUUAAGCCAUGCAUGUCUAUGCACACGCCCUUGAAUGGUGAAGCCGCGAAAAGCUCAUUACAACAGCCAUAGUUUAUUGGAUGUGUACGUUCCUACAAGGACACCUGCGGUAAUUCUGGAGCUAAUACUUGCAAUAAACGACGACCUUACGGAAGUCGUGCAUUUGUUAGACUAAACCAAUCGGUUCUUCGGAACCGCCAUUUGGUGAACUCUGAAUAACUUAGCUGAUCGCACAGUCUCGUACUGGCGACGAAUCUUUCAAGUGUCUGCCUUAUCAACUUUCGAUGGUAGUUUGCACGACUACCAUGGUUGUAACGGGUAACGGAGAAUAAGGGUUCGACUCCGGAGAGGGAGCCUGAGAAACGGCUACCACAUCCAAGGAAGGCAGCAGGCGCGCAAAUUACCCAAUCUCAGCACGAGGAGGUAGUGACGAAAAAUAACGAGGUGGCUCUCUACGAGGUCCAUCAUCGGAAUGGGUACAAUUUAAAUCCUUUAACGAGGAUCUAUUGGAGGGCAAGUCUGGUGCCAGCAGCCGCGGUAAUUCCAGCUCCAAUAGCGUAUACUAAAGUUGUUGCGGUUAAAAAGCUCGUAGUUGGAUCUGCGCUCGGUGAAAGCGGUCGCCCGAUGGGUUGUUACUGCUUCUCCCGGGCUAACCAUUCGGUUUUCCCUUGAUGCUCUUCAUUGAGUGUCCUGGGUGACCGGAACGUUUACUUUGAAAAAAUUAGAGUGCUCAAAGCAGGCGAUUUGCCCGAAUAUUCGUGCAUGGAAUAAUAAAAGAGGUCCUUGUAGCCUUUUAUUGGUUAUCGCUACGAGGAAAUGAUCGAAGGGGACAGACGGGGGCAUUUGUAUUGCGACGUUAGAGGUGAAAUUCUUGGAUCGUCGCAAGACAAACUACUGCGAAAGCAUUUGCCAAGAAUGUUUUCAUCAAUCAAGAACGAAAGUCUGAGGUUCGACAGCGAUCGGAUACCGCUUUAGUUCAGACCGUAAACGAUGCCAUCUGGCGAUCCACCGGCGUUAUGUAUGACUCGGUGGGCAGCCACCGGUAAACCUUUAAGUCAGGUUCCGGGGGAAGUAUGGUUGCAAAGCUGAAACUUAAAGGAAUUGACGGAAGGGCACCACCAGGAGUGGAGCCUGCGGCUUAAUUUGACU